RNAcentral lists this ribosomal RNA (536 nucleotides) under uncultured delta proteobacterium. RNAcentral describes it as "bacterial SSU rRNA". It matches the Rfam family "Bacterial small subunit ribosomal RNA", at positions 11 to 523 of the family's 1533-position model. The record is from RNAcentral. Lineage: Bacteria; Deltaproteobacteria.
GUUUGAUCCUGGCUCAGAACGAACGCUGGCGGCGUGCCUAACACAUGCAAGUCGCGCGAGAAAGUGGGGGCAACUCCAUGAGUAAAGCGGCGCACGGGUGAGUAGUACGUAGGUAACCUACCUUCGAGACCGGGAUAACCUUCCGAAAGGAGGGCUAAUACUGGAUAAGACCACGGAGCCUCGGCUCUGGGGUUAAAGGUGGCCUCUGCUCGCAAGCUACCACUAGAGGAUGGGCCUGCGCACCAUUAGCUAGUUGGUGAGGUAACGGCUCACCAAGGCGAAGAUGGUUAGCUGAUCUGAGAGGAUGAUCAGCCACACUGGGACUGAGACACGGCCCAGACUCCUACGGGAGGCAGCAGUGGGGAAUCUUGGACAAUGGGGGAAACCCUGAUCCAGCGACGCCGCGUGGGUGAUGAAGGCCUUCGGGUCGUAAAGCCCUGUCGGGGGGGAAGAAACUCCUGCCGGUGAACAAUCGGCGGGAUUGACGGUACCCCCUAAGGAAGCACCGGCUAACUCCGUGCCAGCAGCCGCGGUAA